GGUACGUGAUCCUGCCUAAUUCUGAGACUUGCCCUACAGAUGGAAGACAGGUUCUUCAAUAUCUCCUAUACCAGUAAUAAAGAAUCUUCCUUGCAAGCCUAUCACUGGGAACAGAAAGUGCAUAUGCGACCAGUAGGAGGCAAGCACAUGGAGCCCAGAGAAUUCCUCUCACUGAAUUAUUAUCUUAGAAAAGGUCCUACUUUACACAAGAUCAGAGUCCAACUCUCCGAAAGCCAGGUUUGGAUUCACAGAAAGUGGAAGCAUCAGGACAAAAAUAGCUGGCUGAACCCCAUAUUCAAAGCCAUGUGAGGACUGCCGUGGAUGGGCUCAUCAGCUCCACGAAGCUACGUCCUGGAAGAAAAGAGCUCUCCUAUCAAGGACCAACUACAGGGUCUGCAGAUCCCCCACCGGGCUGUGCUGAAGCUGCGAGGAGGAGAGACCUACAGGCAGAAAGAGAAGCCUGCACUGUCCCCGCUGGGCUGGCUUGUGGUAGUGAGACUUUCAGCUGUCUGGAGUAAAGGGGCAAUCAGUAGGAAAAGACAGACUAAUUCUCAUAGUCCCUGCCUUUGACUGGUUCCUGUGAGGAGACAAACUGAAAACAGUGGGAAAUUUAAAUACCAGAUUGAAUGAGACUGGAAAGUAAGAACAGGAGUGUUGGAAACCAGAAUUUGUUGGAGCCUCUGGCAGCCUACAG
RNAcentral lists this long non-coding RNA (694 nucleotides) under Equus caballus (horse). RNAcentral's name for it is "lncRNA (ENSECAG00000040249.3)". The record is from RNAcentral. Lineage: Eukaryota; Metazoa; Chordata; Mammalia; Perissodactyla; Equidae.